UUGCUUCCAAUUCAUCAAUGUCACUUUAAUGACUUAAAAUGGCAGGUGUUACAGCCUCUUCUCCUUAACAGAAUCUCGUCCCGAGAUUCCCGGGGUUAAAUCCUCGGUUUUGAGAAUGGAAAGGAAACUGCGUCAGGUCAACUACUCUUCUCUUUUCUGUACAGGGAUAGUGGGGUGGUGGCUUUUGUUUAUCUGUUCCUGAUGGUUUCAAAUAAUUCUGGAUAUUUAGACUCUAG
This 236-nucleotide long non-coding RNA is filed under the name Setaria italica (foxtail millet). RNAcentral describes it as "long non-coding RNA (SITA_LNC000325)". The record is from RNAcentral. Lineage: Eukaryota; Viridiplantae; Streptophyta; Magnoliopsida; Poales; Poaceae.